This 497-nucleotide ribosomal RNA is filed under the name uncultured bacterium. RNAcentral's name for it is "partial 16S ribosomal RNA". It matches the Rfam family "Bacterial small subunit ribosomal RNA", at positions 28 to 507 of the family's 1533-position model. The record is from RNAcentral.
GAUGAACGCUGGCGGCGUGCCUAAUACAUGCAAGUCGAGCGAACAGACGAGGAGCUUGCUCCUCUGACGUUAGCGGCGGACGGGUGAGUAACACGUGGAUAACCUACCUAUAAGACUGGGAUAACUUCGGGAAACCGGAGCUAAUACCGGAUAAUAUAUUGAACCGCAUGGUUCAAUAGUGAAAGACGGUUUUGCUGUCAUUUAUAGAUGGAUCCGCGCCGCAUUAGCUAGUUGGUAAGGUAACGGCUUACCAAGGCAACGAUGCGUAGCCGACCUGAGAGGGUGAUCGGCCACACUGGAACUGAGACACGGUCCAGACUCCUACGGGAGGCAGCAGUAGGGAAUCUUCCGCAAUGGGCGAAAGCCUGACGGAGCAACGCCGCAUGAGUGAUGAAGGUCUUCGGAUCGUAAAACUCUGUUAUUAGGGAAGAACAAAUGUGUAAGUAACUAUGCACGUCUUGACGGUACCUAAUCAGAAAGCCACGGCUAACUACGUG